Molecule: long non-coding RNA, 1263 nt
Filed under: Equus caballus (horse)
Lineage: Eukaryota; Metazoa; Chordata; Mammalia; Perissodactyla; Equidae
Description: lncRNA (ENSECAG00000049380.1)
Source: RNAcentral
CACAGCUUCACCAGAAGAUAGCCCUGCCUACCAACACACUGCAGCAGUCACAUCCAAGCAUCACAUGUGGACUGGGUGCCAGCCCUUCCCAUCAGCUCACCACAACAGUAGUCACUGUGCCUCAUAGUGGUACCAGGCACCAGCCCUGCCCACCAACAUUCUACAGCAGUUGUGAUCGUUCCGUUCCCUGCAGCCAGGUUGGGCACCAACACCACCCACGAAGGUGUCACAAUAGUUGCGGCCAUGUGUCACAGCCAGGUCAGGCAAGAGCUCCACCCAAUCCCUGCACAGCAUCCAUGCUCCUGCCACAUAAGGAGGGCUCAUGCAGCUCACAUAGAGGACAUCCCUUGAGUGCCUGACUCAGGAGGCCAGGGGGAUUGCACUUCUGGGCCCCACAGGAUAUCUCCUACUUAAGCCCACUCCCUCAAGACUGAAAGAGGUGCUCCCUGUCAUCCUUUCUCAUUCAGUCUGCAGGGUCCUUCAGCAAGUGCCCAUCACAGUGAACAAAUUCUUUGAGGGGAAAAAUGAAGUGCAAAGAGAUGAAAGACCUUGUCCAAGAUGCCUGUAAGUGGUGGAGACAGGAUAAGGCUCCAGAUAGGCUGGCUUCAGGGUCUGCAUACUAACCAUCCAUCCCCAAACCCAAAUCAGUGUCUGUCAAUGGGAUGAAGGUAUGGAGCAUCCAGCAGGGGUGUCUGUCAAUGGGUUGAAGCUAUGGAGCAUCCACAAGGGGUGUCUGUCAUUGGGAUGAAGGAUCAGGGAAAAGCUGAACAUAACCUCAGGAAAACCACAGAUAUCUAGUGGAAGACCGUCUAUGUCAGAUGGAAACAGAUCCACGGAGAGGAAGAACAAAGCUACGCCCUGACCAACAAUUAAAAUAACUAUAUCCAGUCAGUAAAGAGACUCGCUAUUUUCUUUUUUCACUGGAAGCAUUAGAAUCUAGAAGAGUUGGGGAAAGGAGAGAGCUUCAGAUAGGUUUUAAAUUUGACAUAUUAAACAGGAUUGUAUUAUGUUCUCAUAAUUGAAACUUAUUAGAAGAGUUAUGAAAUUGAGCCAAAAUUUCACUGGUAUAGGAAAAGAUGAUUUAGAGAAUCAUAGUUAACAGCAGUCAUUUAAAAUAAAUGGAAAGGGUUUUUAUGUUUCCUCACACUCUAGAAUGUCAGCUCAAUGAGAACAGUGAUUCUACUUUGUUAGUUCUGUUUUAUACAUUUCUAGAACAGUGCCUGUGCCUAGUAAAUCUUUAUUAAUGUUUGUUGAAUGAAUGGG